UCCCCUAGUAACUGCGAGUGAAGCGGGAAAAGCUCAAAUUUAAAAUCUGGCGGUUCUGCCGUCCGAGUUGUAAUCUGGAGAAGCGUUUUCUGUGCUGGACCGUGUACAAGUCUCUUGGAACAGAGCGUCAUAGAGGGUGAGAAUCCCGUCCAUGACACGGACGCCCAGUGCUAUGUGAUACGUUUUCAAAGAGUCGAGUUGUUUGGGAAUGCAGCUCAAAAUGGGUGGUAAGCUCCAUCUAAAGCUAAAUAUUGGCGAGAGACCGAUAGCGAACAAGUACCGUGAGGGAAAGAUGAAAAGCACUUUGGAAAGAGAGUUAAACAGUACGUGAAAUUGUUGAAAGGGAAACGCUUGAAGUUAGUCGCGUCUUACUUGACUCAGCCUUGCCUCGGCUUGGUGUAUUUCAUGUGAGACGGGUCAACAUCGAUUUUGACCGGCAGAGAAGGGGGGCGAGAAUGUGGCAUUCUUCGGAGUGUGUUAUAGCUUACUCUCAUAUGUGUCGGUUGGGAUCGAGGCCCGCAGCGCGCCCUUGUGGCCGGAGGUUCGCCUCACGUUACGCGCUUAGGAUGUUGGCAUAAUGGCUUUAAGCGACCCGUCUUGAAACACGGACCAAGGAGUCUAACAUGCUCGCGAGUGUUAGGGUGGAAAACCCUUGCGCAGAAUGAAAGUAAAAGUUGGGAACCUCCGCAAGGGGGCGCACCGACGCCCGGCCCAGAAGUUUACGGACGGUGCUGCGGUAGAGCGCGUAUGUUGGGACCCGAAAGAUGGUGAACUAUGCCUGAAUAGGGCGAAGCCAGGGGAAACCCUGUGUGGAGGCUCGUAGCGAUUCUGACGUGCAAAUCGAUCGUCAAAUUUGGG
RNAcentral lists this ribosomal RNA (858 nucleotides) under Fuscoporia gilva. Its description in RNAcentral is "partial large subunit ribosomal RNA". It matches the Rfam family "Eukaryotic large subunit ribosomal RNA", at positions 76 to 915 of the family's 3401-position model. The record is from RNAcentral. Lineage: Eukaryota; Fungi; Basidiomycota; Agaricomycetes; Hymenochaetales; Hymenochaetaceae.